GACGAACGCUGGCGGCGUGCUUAACACAUGCAAGUCGAACGGAAAGGCCCUGCUUUUGUGGGGUGCUCGAGUGGCGAACGGGUGAGUAACACGUGAGUAACCUGCCCUUGACGUUGGGAUAACUUCAGGAAACUGGGGCUAAUACCGGAUAGGAGCGCCUGCUGCAUGGUGGGGGUUGGAAAGUUUCGGCGGUUGGGGAUGGACUGCCGGCUUAUCGGCUGGUUGGGGGGGGAGGGGCUUACCAAGGCUUUGCGGGGUAGCCGGCCUGAGAGGGUGACCGGCCACAUUGGACCUGGGAUACGGCCCGGACUCCUCGGGGAGGCAGAGGUGGGGAAUAUUGCACAAUGGGCGGAGGCCUAAUGCGGCAACGCCGCGUGCGGGAUGACGGCCUUCGGGUUGUAACCCGCUUUCGCAUGUGACGAAGCGUGAGUGACGGUAACGGGUGAAGAAGCACCGGCUAACUACGUG
This 468-nucleotide ribosomal RNA is filed under the name uncultured bacterium. RNAcentral's name for it is "partial 16S ribosomal RNA". It matches the Rfam family "Bacterial small subunit ribosomal RNA", at positions 28 to 507 of the family's 1533-position model. The record is from RNAcentral.